This 253-nucleotide ribosomal RNA is filed under the name uncultured bacterium. RNAcentral's name for it is "partial 16S ribosomal RNA". It matches the Rfam family "Bacterial small subunit ribosomal RNA", at positions 524 to 776 of the family's 1533-position model. The record is from RNAcentral.
UACAGAGGUCCCAAGCGUUGUUCGGAUUCACUGGGCGUAAAGGGUGCGUAGGUGGCUUGAUAAGUCUGAUGUGAAAUCUCGGAGCCCAACUCCGAAACGGCAUCGGAUACUAUUAAGCUAGAGGUCUGGAGGGGAGACUGGAAUUCUCGGUGUAGCAGUGAAAUGCGUAGAUAUCGAGAGGAACGCCAAUGGCGAAGGCUAGUCUCUGGACAGAUCCUGACACUGAGGCACGAAAGCUAGGGGAGCAAACAGG